UACGUAGGGCGCAAGCGUUGUCCGGAAUUAUUGGGCGUAAAGAGCUCGUAGGCGGCCUGUUGCGUCCGCUGUGAAAUCCCGGGGCUCAACCCCGGGCCUGCAGUGGAUACGGGCUGGCUGGAGGCAGGCAGGGGAGAACGGAAUUCCUGGUGUAGCGGUGAAAUGCGCAGAUAUCAGGAGGAACACCGGCGGCGAAGGCGGUUCUCUGGGCCUGUUCUGACGCUGGAGGAGCGAAAGCGUGGGGAGCGAACAGG
RNAcentral lists this ribosomal RNA (254 nucleotides) under uncultured bacterium. RNAcentral describes it as "partial 16S ribosomal RNA". It matches the Rfam family "Bacterial small subunit ribosomal RNA", at positions 524 to 776 of the family's 1533-position model. The record is from RNAcentral.